UGUAUAAAAUUUGUAACCUAUGCUUCUGCUCUUGGCUUUUCUAUGCUUUUAAAAUAAAGUGUAGAAUCUAUGCUUUUGUUUUUAAUAUUUUUAUCUAUGUAAUUUAGGCAAACCUGAGCAACGAAGUGCAAAGAAAAGGGUUAAGGAUCAAACAAUUAAAUUUUCAGCUUAUUUUACUUAUAAAUGAAUGGUAUUUCGUGCAUCUAGUAUUUUACCAAUUACCUGUCUGUGAGACCCAGAAAGUUUACCAGUACAGUGCCAUUUUAAAAUCUUAAUUAAUAUUAAUUAAAAGUGAUAUUGAUUAAUUAGUUCUUUUUGUUUUUUUUUUACAAAUUGAUGUAUAAUCUCUGCUGUAUGGUUUCUUCGUUACUAGUAUGGAUAUAAUUACUAAGCAUCUGCAAAUUUUAUGCGUCUUGUCUUGAAGUGGAGGAUCUUGUAACAUAGAAAAGGAUUCGACAUUACUUUGGUUGUAGCAAUCGUCAUUCGCCCCAGAAAACAGCUGUAGCUACGGUCCUAAAGAAAACAUGAAAGUGGCCUUUUUUGAUUGGGAACGGAGACAGUGUGUUGCUAAAGAAAGAUUUUAUGACAAUGAACUGAUUAUGGGACAAGUGAGGGAAUUGCAGUUAAUUUUGAUGCUGCUGAAACAACCGAUGCUUUUGAGGUCUUUACCUUGCAACAUUGUGCAAUUAGUUUGGCCCUGAGAAUGGGAGGUAAUUGGAAAGUGAGUCACUGAAACAACGAAUUAUCUGCAGUGGCAUCCCUCCUGGAUUUGGUUUGCUCAUCACACUUGUAGACUCUAGAAUGCAACUUUUUGCAGGUAAUUAAGAUUGACCAACAAGUAAAAGAGAAUUAGAAGUUAAUUUUGACCUUAGUGAUGACCAUAAGCGAAGUGUGCAUUGAUAGCUUUCUGAAUUUGGUUUACUUUUUGCUUGAAUGAACUUUGGAGCGUUACACUCUGCAGAUUGGCCAAGAAAUCAAGAGUAGAAGAGUGUUCAUUUUGGUGUUACUAAAAAAGCAAGGUAUCUGCUGUUAACUUUUCAUCUUGGAGAAUUUUAUACUUAAUUAAGGGAAAUUAGAAAAACUCCUAAUGCCACUAAAUGUUGGUUGUAUCAGCCCUUAUUCGCUCCAGAAAGUAGAUGUACCUAUGGUUCCAAAUAAUACACGAAAAUGGUUUUUUCCCUUUGGGAAUAGAAAUCAAUUAAAAAUAGUAAAUGAGGUCCCAGAAACUUCAAUUUCUCGGAUAUUUGUAACUUCCUUCAAUAGACAAUUUUUAAACAUAGUUUCAAAAAUUGCAUCAAUGUUAAUGUGACUGAUUUACUUGCUUUAUAAGUGGUAAUUAAUUACUUUUUCUUGCUAGUUUCUAUAGACUAUCCAACAAAUGAGGGAAUUCCAGUCUCGCCUUGCAACAUUGUGCAGUGAAUCAUUAAUUUUGGCAACUGGAAAAUAGUUUUGAAGUCACUGAAACAACAAGUUGUCUGCAGUGGUAUCCAUCUUGAAUUUGAUUUUCUUAUCACAUUGGUAGUUUCUAGAAUGCUACUUUUUGCAGUUAUUUAAGGAUACCCAACAAAUGAGCUAGAAUUAAAGUUGAAUUUGGUCGUUCUGAAACAACCGAUUUCUACAUGGGUGUGGUCUUUCAUGGAUUAUAUUGUUGAUGUGCAGUUUUCGUUUUUACAACAUUAUGCAGUCAAUUUUCAACCGAUGAGUUAGUACAACUGGAAAUCUGUGUGAAUUCCACCUAAAUAACGAACUUACUGUAUGGCAUUUCUCCUGUAUUUGGUUUGCUUUUCACACCUGCAAGUUUUGGAACGUUACAGUCUACAGUUAAUUAAGAUCGACGGUGGAGAAGACAAAGAAG
Molecule: long non-coding RNA, 1855 nt
Organism: Agrilus planipennis (emerald ash borer)
Lineage: Eukaryota; Metazoa; Arthropoda; Insecta; Coleoptera; Buprestidae
Exons: 8
Source: RefSeq, a predicted model, not a curated record